This 253-nucleotide ribosomal RNA is filed under the name uncultured bacterium. RNAcentral's name for it is "partial 16S ribosomal RNA". It matches the Rfam family "Bacterial small subunit ribosomal RNA", at positions 524 to 776 of the family's 1533-position model. The record is from RNAcentral.
UACGGAGGGUGCGAGCGUUGUCCGGAAUCAUUGGGCGUAAAGGGCGCGUAGGUGGCUCGUGAAGCGUGCGGUGAAAGUCCGAGGCUCAACCUCGGAUCGGCCGUGCGGACUCGCGGGCUCGAGCGUUGUAGAGGCGGGUGGAAUUCCGGGUGUAGCGGUGGAAUGCGUAGAGAUCCGGAAGAACACCGGUGGCGAAGGCGGCCCGCUGGGCAACUGCUGACACUGAGGCGCGACAGCGUGGGGAGCAAACAGG